Molecule: transfer RNA, 67 nt
Filed under: Brasilocerus sp. 2 DTA-2012
Lineage: Eukaryota; Metazoa; Arthropoda; Insecta; Coleoptera; Phengodidae
Description: tRNA-Val
Source: RNAcentral
UAUCAAACCAUAUUGAAGGAACAAUAAAAUCUUUAAGGUAAAUAAAAACUUUUACAAAAAUAGUCUG